GUGGGGAAUAUUGCACAAUGGGCGAAAGCCUGAUGCAGCAACGCCGCGUGAGUGAUGAAGGCCUUCGGGUUGUAAAGCUCUGUCUUUGGGGACGAUAAUGACGGUACCCAAGGAGGAAGCCACGGCUAACUACGUGCCAGCAGCCGCGGUAAUACGUAGGUGGCAAGCGUUGUCCGGAUUUACUGGGCGUAAAGGAUGCGUAGGCGGAUAUUUAAGUGAGAUGUGAAAUACCUGGGCUUAACUUGGGUGCUGCAUUCCAAACUGGGUGUAUAGAGUGUUGGAGAGGAAAGUGGAAUUCCUAGUGUAGCGGUGAAAUGCGUAGAGAUUAGGAAGAACACCAGUGGCGAAGGCGGCAUCCUGGACCGGUAUUGACGCUGAGGAGCGAAAGCCAGGGGAGCAAACGGGAUUAGAUACCCGAGUAGUCC
This 425-nucleotide ribosomal RNA is filed under the name uncultured bacterium. RNAcentral describes it as "partial 16S ribosomal RNA". It matches the Rfam family "Bacterial small subunit ribosomal RNA", at positions 354 to 796 of the family's 1533-position model. The record is from RNAcentral.